This 499-nucleotide ribosomal RNA is filed under the name uncultured bacterium. Its description in RNAcentral is "bacterial SSU rRNA". It matches the Rfam family "Bacterial small subunit ribosomal RNA", at positions 29 to 521 of the family's 1533-position model. The record is from RNAcentral.
AUUGAACGCUGGCGGAAUGCUUUACACAUGCAAGUCGAACGGCAGCACGGGGGCAACCCUGGUGGCGAGUGGCGAACGGGUGAGUAAUACAUCGGAACGUGCCCAGUCGUGGGGGAUAACGUAGCGAAAGCUACGCUAAUACCGCAUACGAUCUCUGGAUGAAAGCGGGGGACCGCAAGGCCUCGCGCGAUUGGAGCGGCCGAUGGCAGAUUAGGUAGUUGGUGGGGUAAAGGCUCACCAAGCCGACGAUCUGUAGCUGGUCUGAGAGGACGACCAGCCACACUGGGACUGAGACACGGCCCAGACUCCUACGGGAGGCAGCAGUGGGGAAUUUUGGACAAUGGGCGAAAGCCUGAUCCAGCCAUUCCGCGUGCAGGAUGAAGGCCCUCGGGUUGUAAACUGCUUUUGUACGGAACGAAACGGUACCUGGUUAAUACCUGGGCGUAAUGACGGUACCGUAAGAAUAAGCACCGGCUAACUACGUGCCAGCAGCCGCGGU